Long non-coding RNA from Pan paniscus (pygmy chimpanzee), 1713 nucleotides. NCBI's taxonomy places the organism in Eukaryota, Metazoa, Chordata, Mammalia, Primates, Hominidae. The record is from Ensembl.
GUUGAUCGAAGCUGGCAGAGGAUAGAAGAGCUCUGUGGCCGAGUGAGCUGUUUCUGGAGCCAGAUGCGUCUUUGGCGGAGCCUGAGGUCCCCUGCUACUACUGGGGUGCAGAUGCUCAAAUCUUUGUUUUACAUCCUGAUUCUCCAAUUUGCCAAAUACUAUCACCUUACUCUGCUGUCUUUGUUAGGAACGUUGCUAACACAAUCUGCCUAACUGGCACCCUUUCCUGGUGUGGGAGAAGCACAGUUGACAGCCAGUGUUUUGGUGGCAAGAGGCCAAGACGAAUUGACAGAACUUCCAAAACACUUUGCAAAGACAGCGAGUGCACAAAGCUGCAGCUCACAGCCUUGUCCCGUGGCCGGGAGACAGGAUGCAUGCUGAGCUGCUGGGAGGAGGGACAGGAGGAAAAGUGCCUGCAGCUGCAGGAGCACCCACUUGAGAUGCCUCCUGUGUUCAAUCAAGUUCAGAGUAAUUGCUUCCUCACUCCUCCUGGCAAAACUGUUCAACUUGGCACAGUGACAGCUCCUUGUAGAGUUUUUCCAGCUGAUGUCAUUCUUCCUAAGGUCUACUAGGGUCCCAGCUAACACGACUGUGUUGCACUGGCAUCCACACCUCCACCAGGAGCAAUUCAAAGGCCUAUUUUUGUGAAUAUGUGGCAGAGAUCCCAGGCUCCAUGGAGGCCUUUUGCACUGGGGACAUGGUGGAAAAUUAAGCCCCACAGGUAACUACCUACCUGCACGGCAUGAGAGCAGCUGAUUAGAGGACUGAAUGGGCAGAUCCGUGGAAGGGAUUGAGUGAACACUAACAUCGAGCAUUCUUAUAAGCUAAGUGAGACUGCAAGAGUCAGGGGCCACUGUGCACAAUUGUGUGAGCUGUGUUUUGCAGCAGGUGUCUGGGGAGCUCAAAUCCACCCACAAAGGGAAGCCUUUGUGACUUGUACAAAGGGCCAUAAGUGGUGGCUCAAACCUGAGGCUCUACCGUGCAGUGAGUGUGGGGAUGUGGAGAUGGGUACACAGGAAUUGACAAUCUAAAGAGGGGAAGAGACUAACAUCCAGCAGCACGUUAACUGUGAAAGCAAACUAAAUAUGGCCUGAGCAGGACUCCGUACUUCUAUAUUUGAGUCCUCGCGGAUGAGCUGUAACCUAGCUUAAUAGGCAGACAAAAUUGCAAACAUAACCUGGUAGUAUGCACCUCCAACAGUAGCUAAGUCUUGGCCAACCCCAGCACCCAUACUCAACCAAGCAUACACUGCUGAGUGUUCAAACUGUGUUCAAAUAAGGCAUACGCCGAGCUGUAACCAAUCCAGCUGUUUUAUACUUCACUUCUAAUUUCUGUACAUCAUCCCCCCCCCACCUUUUUUUGUCUAUAAAUCUUCUCCACCUGGCUGUGCUGGAGUCUCUGUGAACCUGCUGUGAUUCUGCGGGCUGCCCAAUUCUCAAAUCGAUCAUUGCUCAAUUAAACUUUAAAUUUCAUUCAGCUGAAGUUUCUCUUUCAUCAACUGCUAUAGUAUUUCAGUUUAGUUUCUCUCUCUUUUCUUGAAACUAAUAUGUACUUAGAGUCUAGUAUGGCAAAUGCCAUGGUGGGCAUUUUACUUAUAUAAUCUGAAAACUGCUUAUGAGCUCCCUGCAAGACAGAAGAUAGCAUCGGGCCCACCGUGUGGAGGGGGAGACGGAGCCACGGAUCCCUGACCAGAGGUAGGUGCUCAAGCAGCAG